Corticium candelabrum is the source of this 662-nucleotide long non-coding RNA. RefSeq lists it as uncharacterized. The transcript has 2 exons. Lineage: Eukaryota; Metazoa; Porifera; Homoscleromorpha; Homosclerophorida; Plakinidae. The record is from RefSeq and is a predicted model, not a curated record.
AUUUUGUUGGCGUGCGGCUACCUAACGGCCCCGGUUUGGAGAGGCAAACAGACUAACAGCUGCCCUACUACAACUCAUUCAGAGUCUAGUCUGCGAAAGAAGUAUGAAGAUUGUUGUUUGUUCUCUCUUGACCAUCUUCGCCAUUGGCAAAUCUAGCAUCUUGCUUCAGCAAGACAACGAGAUGACGAUGGGAAUUGGUCAGAAAGGCUGCGAGGCAUUCAACGGAACCAAUUUCGACCUCGUGAAGCCCGAGAAGAAGUGUGCCGACGGUUUGGUGUGCCGAGACGGCGUAUGUGUUCGCAAUCACCAUUGUAUGCUUGAAGGAGCUGAAUGUUGCUGUCUUUGCCGAUGUCUUCCUUCUUGUGGCGACUGCUGCAACACACCAAAAGACUGCCAAGAUGAGGAGUGGAGUUGCAAGACUACAUGCGGCUAGCAGUGGCGUCAACGCCAAAUGGCAUCAUGACAAUUCAAAACUGUUAGAUGAACAAAUUGAUUAUCCUCGAAACAGUCUGAUACACGAGGGUAGAGUGUUAUAGCUUGUAGCCUAGGUAGUUGCACGAUUAGCUAGGAGAUGUAGACUUUUACGAUGUUGAGGGUUGCUGUCUAAGACUACAGCUAAGCGCAACGAAUAUACGCAUCGAGUUGAUGCAUAAUGGGUGGCA